Camelina sativa (false flax) is the source of this 976-nucleotide long non-coding RNA. RefSeq lists it as uncharacterized. The record is from RefSeq and is a predicted model, not a curated record. Lineage: Eukaryota; Viridiplantae; Streptophyta; Magnoliopsida; Brassicales; Brassicaceae.
CAAAUGUAGCACGUAACCUCAGAUUUUCCAAAAGUAGCAUUUAUAUAUAUAUUAUUUAAUUAAAAUAACAAAAUACAUCUUUUCCAAAAUUAAAUUAACCAUCUUUAGAUUUCUUAGCUCCCGUGAAGCUUAUGGUGAAGAGCCGAACUGAAAUCUUCAUUUCCGAUCUCAUUUUUUCCAAUUAACUGCCAAAUCGAUCGACUGAUUCCUUUACGAUCAAAAUCUCCAUCACGAGCAUCUUCAUUCACCGAAUUCUGAUAAAAAAAAAAAAACAGAGUUUAUAGCUUCCGCCGUCGUCUAAGAUAGUGUGUGUGGCGGCGGAGAGUCCUCCGGCGAAAAUAACAGCGGACGACUGGGGGGAAAGUAUCGGUGGUUUUAAUUGGAUAAGGAUGGUGGGCUUUGUAACAGUGAGGGGUUUUCUAGACGCGUCGUGUGUUUAGAUUAAUUGAUUUCGUUGAUUUUUUGGGUUUGGCGAUUCACAUAUGAAGCUAAGUUUUUGGGAGGUGUUGCUUCAGGCAAAAGGAGUAGAAGGAUUUGAUAAAAAGAGGCCAAGAAUUAAAUAGAUGCGGUUGGGGAUUUGCAUGUUCCUUGUGGUUGGGAUUGUUUGUCUCGUUGCUCUCUUUAUCCACCACUUCUGCAAAUACUCACCUGAAGUAGUGAAGAAGUUAUACCUUCACCAAAAAGUUCAUGUUUAACAAAACUGCAGACGUUUGUAGCAUUGGUUUAUUUGGGUUCAGCUAAUGGAUUAUGGGAAUCAUAUGCUACAAGAUGAUGGAGGAGGAUCUCUGGUUAUGACCAUCUCUAUUUUUGAGAUUUCUGAACAUUUAGGAAAUCCUUCUUAAAAUUCAAAGAUCCUUCCUAAACACCAUCCAAUCCUUCCUUAAUCGUUUUUUUUUUCAUCUAGCGUGUGGUCUUUUUACAUGUUUAUUGUUAUACUUUCCUCGAAUGAAAAGCUUGAGUUAUUUGUUACACUUUA